AUUGAACGCUGGCGGCACGCAUAACACAUGCAAGUCGAGCGGCAGCGAGACUAGUAGCAAUACUAGUUGUCGGCGAGCGGCGGACGGGUGAGUAAUAACGUAGGAACUUGCCUUUCAGAGGGGGACAACCAAGGGAAACUUUGGCUAAUACCGCAUAAACUCGGAAGAGGAAAGCUGCCUUUAGGGGUGGUACUGAAAGAGAGGCCUGCGUCUGAUUAGCUAGUUGGUGAGGUAGAGGCUCACCAAGGCGAUGAUCAGUAACUGGUCUGAGACGGACGACCAGUCACACUGGGACUGAGACACGGCCCAGACUCCUACGGGAGGCAGCAGUGGGGAAUAUUGGACAAUGGGGGCAACCCUGAUCCAGCGAUGCCGCGUGGGUGAAGAAGGCCUUCGGGUUGUAAAGCCCUUUAGGUUGGGACGAAGGUUAUUAUCGGAUAAUGGUAAUAACUUGACGGUACUAACAGAAUAAGCACCGGCAAACUCUGUGCCAGCCGCCGCCGUAA
Molecule: ribosomal RNA, 506 nt
Filed under: uncultured bacterium
Lineage: Bacteria
Description: partial 16S ribosomal RNA
Rfam family: Bacterial small subunit ribosomal RNA
Source: RNAcentral